RNAcentral lists this long non-coding RNA (1762 nucleotides) under Solanum tuberosum (potato). Its description in RNAcentral is "long non-coding RNA (STUB_LNC002573)". The record is from RNAcentral. Lineage: Eukaryota; Viridiplantae; Streptophyta; Magnoliopsida; Solanales; Solanaceae.
GACAAUAGAAGAUGCAGAUGAUCAUUCCAAAUCUAAUAUAGUGUAUGAGGAGAUCAUUCAAAAUGCAUUCACAUGAAAUCCUAACUUCUCUAUCAUUCGGAAGAAAAUCUACUAAACCAAAAAAGCCACCAAAUGUUUUCCAGUAAAAGCUAUUAGAAGACUCCGCACUACGUAACAAGGUUAGUGAAGCUUACACCCCAUUGUUAGAACUUAAAAUAGCACUUUUGAAGGAGUAGAACGAUUUUUUUUCAAAAUGAGAAAUCUUCAAGUUUUUAAAAUGUCUUGCCCAUAUAUUUGUCCGAUUAAAUAGAAUACUUACUUGAUUUUAAAGUUGAUUCAAAUUUUUUGUUUUAGGGUGAUAGAGGUCAAGAAUGAUGACACUCAUAGUAAAAGUUUGAUCUCAAAGUAUAUUUUCUAAUUUGUUGGUGUGAUUUAGUUCUUAAAUUGAGAAGUUUAAAGGUUCAUAGACCCUGACAUGAGUGCUACAAUAAAAAGUAUAUUUCCAUGUUGUUGGUAUUCUAUGUUAAUAGAAACUUCUCCCGCUGAGUUUACAGGUAGCUUCAUGUUCCCUAUCAAUAAAAAGGACUCAAUUGGAUAUGGUAGGUGAUUUACAUGAUCUAUAAUGAUAUUUAGUGGAAAUCAGUUUUCUCUUCUUUCACACAUAAAUGAUUGUGUCUUGAGGGGACAAGCUAAUUUCUUAAAUCAUUAUUGCCGUGUAAAUAUUUGUCACCUGAAUGAUUCUAAUUGAAAUAAAGCAGCAUUGUUGGUAAAAUAAAACUUUAACACUGCAACAAAGAGUAGUACAAAUAGUAGCCUAAAGUGUAUAAACAAGAUCAUUUUUGGAGAUAUUUUUAAUUCACUUGCAGCUCUUCCACGAUGACAUCUGUUAACAGGCGUGGAGUGGAGUGAGCAACAACUAAUUGUCUUUGUAGUUUCAUGUUGUUAGUGUUUUGUGGUGAUAGAAACUUCUCCUCUCAAGUUUGGAGGUUAGCUUCAUGUUCCCUAUCGAUGAAAAAGACUCAAUCAAUUAUUCACGUGGAUCAAAAAUUUGUACCAUAUGCAUUACCGAUAAUAUGGACGAACAAGUGCAUUGUUAUAAUUUUAUAGGAACGAGAUGUGUUAAACUUGAUUCUUCUCAGAAAGUCACAUGUAUUUACUUGAAACACGUGUCUCGCCACCUUUUCCUUUGAUGUUUAAUCUCUCUCUCACUCAAUAUCCAUCUUUUCAGAAGAAAAACUUAUAUGGAGCUUUGAAUUUCUUCGGUAUAUGUUUGUUUCUGGUUACAUGUCCAUGCAUUUUCAGAUUUUCGUUAUUCACUUCCUCCCUGAUUUUCUAUUAUUUUAUGCCCGUAUUCUUCUUCAGACCUAGAUUCCCAAUCUCGAGAUAUUAUCUCCCUUCAUCUAAAAUUUCUGAAGGAGUGGAUUCUUUCGCAUAAUACUAAAAAAAUUAGUAGUUUUACGGUUGAGUUUGUUCUUUAAUCUCUUUUUGAUUUUUUUUAAACUAAAAGCCUCUAACUACUGGAUCAAGCGCACUGGUAAUGGACUGACAGUAAGAUUUUCCCCUCUAUUUGUUAGUAUAACUUAUACAUUCAUUAUACAUAGUUUGUUUUUUAUUUACCAAUUAAUUCCUUUUAAGCUUCCUAUUUAUUUUGCUUUCUUUUGAUAAGAUUCUCAGGUUGAGGUUUGAUGCUAUCUCUGUUAUGAUAGAAACGUGCAAAUGCAAUUCCAUAUAUAAAUAAGCUGGUGACCUUUUUUUUCAAAAG